UCGAGGGGCAGCGGGGAGGUAGCAAUACUUCCGCCGGCGACCGGCGCACGGGUGAGUAACACGUAUGGAACCUGCCCGUAGCAGGGGGAUAAGCGGAAGAAAUUCCGUCUAAUACCGCGUAAUAACUCCGAGAGGCAUCUCUUGGGGUUUAAAGGGUAACACCGGCUACGGAUGGCCAUGCGGCGCAUUAGCUAGUUGGCGGGGUAACGGCCCACCAAGGCGACGAUGCGUAGGGGUUCUGAGAGGAAGGUCCCCCACACUGGUACUGAGACACGGACCAGACUCCUACGGGAGGCAGCAGUGAGGAAUAUUGGUCAAUGGGCGCGAGCCUGAACCAGCCAAGUCGCGUGAGGGAAGACGGUCCUAUGGAUUGUAAACCUCUUUUGUCGGGGAGCAAAAGACGUCACGUGUGGCGUUCCGAGAGUACCCGAAGAAAAAGCAUCGGCUAACUCCGUGCCAGCAGCCGCGGAAUACGGAGGAUGCGAGCGUUAUCCGGAUUUAUUGGGUUUAAAGGGUGCGUAGGCGGAAGAUCAAGUCAGCGGUAAAAUUGAGAGGCUCAACCUCUUCGAGCCGUUGAAACUGGUUUUCUUGAGUGAGCGAGAAGUAUGCGGAAUGCGUGGUGUAGCGGUGAAAUGCAUAGAUAUCACGCAGAACUCCGAUUGCGAAGGCAGCAUACCGGCGCUCAACUGACGCUCAUGCACGAAAGUGUGGGUAUCGAACAGGAUUAGAUACCCUGGUAGUCCACACAGUANACGAUGAAUACUAAUUGUUCG
Molecule: ribosomal RNA, 773 nt
Filed under: uncultured bacterium
Lineage: Bacteria
Description: bacterial SSU rRNA
Rfam family: Bacterial small subunit ribosomal RNA
Source: RNAcentral